This 467-nucleotide ribosomal RNA is filed under the name uncultured bacterium. RNAcentral describes it as "partial 16S ribosomal RNA". It matches the Rfam family "Bacterial small subunit ribosomal RNA", at positions 28 to 507 of the family's 1533-position model. The record is from RNAcentral.
GACGAACGCUGGCGGCGUGCUUAACACAUGCAAGUCGAACGGAAAGGCCCUGCUUUUUUGGGGUGCUCGAGUGCCGAACGCGUGAGUAACACGUGAGUAACCUGCUCUUGACUUUUGGAUAACUUCAGGAAACUGGGGCUAAUAUCGGAUAGGAUCUCCUGCUGCAUUGUGGGGGUCGGAAAGUUUCGGCGGUUGGGGAUGGACGCGCGGCUUAUCAGCUUGUUGGUGGGGUAGUGGCUUACCAAGGCUUUGACGAGUAGCCGGCCGGAGAGGGUGACCGGCUACAUUGGGACAGGGAUGCGGCCAGGGCGCAUACGGGAGGCAGCGGUGGGGAAUAUGCACAAUGGGCGGAAGCCUGAUGCAGAAACGCCGCGUGCGGGAUGACGGCCUUCGGGUUGUGAACAGCAUUCGCCUGAGACGAAGCGUGAGUGACGGUAAUGGGUGAAGAAGCACCGGCUAACUACGUG